GCCUUCAGGGUGUAGUGGUCAGCACGCUCGACGCGUAACCGAGAGGUCCGUGGUUCGAUUCCCGGCGAAGGCG
Stegodyphus mimosarum is the source of this 73-nucleotide non-coding RNA. The record is from Rfam. NCBI's taxonomy places the organism in Eukaryota, Metazoa, Arthropoda, Arachnida, Araneae, Eresidae.